RNAcentral lists this ribosomal RNA (258 nucleotides) under uncultured prokaryote. Its description in RNAcentral is "partial 16S ribosomal RNA". It matches the Rfam family "Bacterial small subunit ribosomal RNA", at positions 524 to 780 of the family's 1533-position model. The record is from RNAcentral.
UACGGAGGAUGCAAGCGUUAUCCGGAUUUAUUGGGUUUAAAGGGUGCGCAGGUUGUUUGAUAAGUCAGUGGUGAAAGUCUGUCGCUUAACGGUAGGAUUGCCAUUGAUACUGUUAGACUUGAAUAUGGAUGAGGUAGGCGGAAUGUGUAGUGUAGCGGUGAAAUGCAUAGAUAUUACACAGAACACCGGUUGCGAAGGCAGCUUACUAAUCCAUCAUUGACGCUGAGGCACGAAAGCGUGGGGAGUCAAACAGGAUUA